CUGCGUUACGUUGCCCUGCCAAGCUGCUUUGUUUCGAACGUAGUGUGGUGGAGAACGGCGGAGCUGGUUUUGGUGAAAUCAUGCUCACUGAGCGAGCCUGUACACGCGGUUUCCGCACUUUCGGGUCGACCGUAUUGGCCUCCUCCGAGGCUCUGGACAGGAAAAUUGAGGGACCAGCGCCCGAACUCGCGCGUUCGCUUAGGCCAUUCGCCUCAACAUUGUUAGAGCCAGUACCACUUACAGUAUUUUCGUUUGACAACAUGCGUGUUACACGGCUAGAAGCCACAUCGUUGGACUGACUGUCAACACCAGGUCUGAACGGUGCAGGCCCUGCAGUUUGUACUCGGGACUGUCGUCCUACGGCGGGACCGAAGGGCUGCCCUCUCUCCUUCAUGUUUGAAGGCACACUCGUGGAAGUGGUGGGAGAGUUGGAAGUUACAGGUCGCGCCUGGCAGUUCUCCUUACGGGUCCGCCUUGUUUGCGCAUCAGGAGGUUCACUAGGAGGAAACUGCUGGAAAAAAACGUUGGACCCGGCGCCCUUCAUUCUGGGAUGAAAGCGACUGGAUGGAAGGCAGUUCAGGGACUGCGUUACCCGAGACUGUCCCGUUCAUACAUUACGGCACAAACUUUCCAGAGCUACACUUGAUAUGGGAACAUCGAGCAACUACGCAGGCCAGGCGUUUUCACGCUUGGACUGGAUGCGUGGUCCGCUAGUUGUCCUUCGGCUCGUCCUUUUGAACAAAGAUUCAAUUGUGUGUGCUUUUUCGAACUCUUGGCCGAGCAAAAAAUCAUACUGCAAGAUAAGCGGCUUUGGGAUGAGGAUAGUGGCCCCUAAAACUACAUGCCGGAGUGAUGGUGGAUCGCACGCUCGCCGGAUUCGAAUGUGUCUGACUAGUAUAAGGAUACAUUUUCGGGGCCAGGACGAAGAAAGCGUUGACUGAGACUUUGUGCAGAGAGUAAGUGAUUGUCGUCCUUGCAGGAGUACUCUCGAAUAUCGAGUCUCAAUGCUGUUUGUACCCUGCAGAUCAGCUGUCUACGACACGUAGAGGUUCUCUCUGCGACAUGGAAGGAAGAUAACUACAACGUGUUUGCAUGCGCAGCGCUUUGUUUCCUAGCUACAAAACAUGGCAACAAAUCCAUUCGACUGAGACUGAAACAGGAGAAACCUUCAAACGCGAAUUGCGUCGGACCAGUCGCAUCGGCGAAAAGACGAGACAAGACGCGGAAGAACGGGGGCUCAACCCCGCCGUGGUCCGCAGAAUCUGGGAAAGUGCUCUACCAUGAUAUUGCAGCUAGCAGAAAGAGGUGCAUUGUUGUGCCUCAUUCGACAGUACCCACAGACUGGGUCGAAAUGGCCGCUGCAGCCUCGGUGACCGACCAAAUUGCGUGUCUUGUCAUUGUGGGUUGGAGCAGCAUUGAGAAGAGGGCGAAGCUUGUAACAUGCGUGAAUCAACAAUCGUUAGAGGAGACUUGCUCAAGAACCCAACAGGUACGACUAGUUGGUCUGCCGCCAUCCCUCUUCGUCACCGUUUCGAUCAACUGCUAUCGGAGUUUCGGAGUCCCCACACUUUGAGGGGCAAGAGAUAUGUACAGUUCUUAACCAUUUUCAUGAAGAAAAAAAUACCAUAUCUCUCCUUCUUGCCUGGUAAAUUUGGGUUGGACCGUCUUCCGUCAGUUUUCGAAGGAGUCGCCAUUUUUUUCGCUUUCUUUUCGAUGGGGGCUUCGAAUCGAUUAACACGACACAGUUCUGGCCAAGGGAAUUCGUGAGAACGUGACUACUUUGGCACCUUGAAGGCCUGCUGAUGACCGUGACAGAGGAAUCUGAACAUCGUAAAAAGUCUUAUUACAGUACAUCUCUCGCCAUGUAGUACCAACCAAAAAGGAC
This 1885-nucleotide long non-coding RNA is filed under the name Toxoplasma gondii VEG. The record is from RNAcentral. Lineage: Eukaryota; Apicomplexa; Conoidasida; Eucoccidiorida; Sarcocystidae.